UACAGAGGGUGCGAGCGUUGUCCGGAAUCACUGGGCGUAAAGGGCGCGUAGGUGGCGACCCAAGUCCGUGGUGAAAGCUCGCCGCUUAACGGCGAGUCGGCCACGGAGACUGGGUGGCUCGAGCACUGUAGGGGCAGAUGGAAUUCCGGGUGUAGCGGUGGAAUGCGUAGAGAUCCGGAAGAACACCAGUGGCGAAGGCGGUCUGCUGGGCAGUAGCUGACACUGAGGCGCGACAGCGUGGGGAGCAAACAGG
RNAcentral lists this ribosomal RNA (253 nucleotides) under uncultured bacterium. RNAcentral describes it as "partial 16S ribosomal RNA". It matches the Rfam family "Bacterial small subunit ribosomal RNA", at positions 524 to 776 of the family's 1533-position model. The record is from RNAcentral.